This 406-nucleotide ribosomal RNA is filed under the name uncultured bacterium. RNAcentral's name for it is "partial 16S ribosomal RNA". It matches the Rfam family "Bacterial small subunit ribosomal RNA", at positions 30 to 526 of the family's 1533-position model. The record is from RNAcentral.
AUUGAACGCUGGCGGCAGGCCUAACACAUGCAAGUAGAACGAGUGGCGGACGGGUGAGUAAUGUCUGGGAAAAUGCCAGAUGGAGGGGGAUAACUACUGGAAACGGUAGCUAAUACCGCAUACCAUCAGAUGUGCCCAGAUGGGAUUAGCUAGUUGGUGGGGUAACGGCUCACCAAGGCGACGAUCCCUAGCUGGUCUGAGAUGGUGACCAGCCACACUGGAACUUAGACACGGUCCAGCCUCCUCCGGGAGGCAUCAGUGGGGAAUAUUGCACAAUGGGCGCACGCCUGAUACAGCCAUGCCGCGUGUAUGCAGAAGGCCUUCGGGUUGUAAAGUACUUUCAGCGGGGAGGCGUUAACCGCAGAAGAAGCACCGGCUAACUCCGUGCCAGCAGCCGCGGUAAUUC